Long non-coding RNA from Cavia porcellus (domestic guinea pig), 430 nucleotides. RefSeq lists it as uncharacterized. Lineage: Eukaryota; Metazoa; Chordata; Mammalia; Rodentia; Caviidae. The record is from RefSeq and is a predicted model, not a curated record. The transcript is spliced from 3 exons.
UAUGUAGGCGGGAGGUGACAGUCCUGUGCUACUCUGCCUUGGCCAGACUGUGCCCACAGUGCCAACAGGAAUCUGGGCAUGCCAGUCUCAGGGAGACCCAGACAAACUGGCUGUAACCAGAGCAUGUACCUGAACUGUGAGGGAUCGGCUGUGUCUAUCAAACCCUGCAGUGGAGAAGCAAACACUCAUCUCCUGAAGCUCAGCAAAACAGUGAAUUCAGUGCAGCUCACUUCAAUGAAGAAAUACUAAGGCUCUGCCAUGGCCAAGUCCUUCCAGCCGGUGAUAGUGCACCAGCCAUGAGAUGAAAGGAUGUCCAGCACCAUACACUUCUCCAUGAUGUAUCGUGUUGCCAUAGGCCCAUCAGGAUGGGGUCAAAUGGACCGGACCCUCCACAACUGUGAGCCAAUAUAAACCUCUUCUCCUAUACUAA